RNAcentral lists this ribosomal RNA (255 nucleotides) under uncultured bacterium. Its description in RNAcentral is "partial 16S ribosomal RNA". It matches the Rfam family "Bacterial small subunit ribosomal RNA", at positions 524 to 777 of the family's 1533-position model. The record is from RNAcentral.
UACGUAGGCAGCAAGCGUUGUUCGGAGUUACUGGGCGUAAAGGGUGUGUAGGCGGUUGGAUAAGUGUGGUGUGAAAUCUCCCGGCUUAACUGGGAGGGUGCGCUACAAACUGUCUGACUAGAGUGUGGGAUGGGUAAGUGGAAUUCCUGGUGUGAGCGGUGAAAUGCGUAGAUAUCAGGAGGAACACCGAUAGCGAAGGCAGCUUACUAGACUGUAACUGACGCUGAUGCACGAAAGUGUGGGGAUCAAACAGGG